UAAUGUUGAAAAGUGGAAGAGAUUAAUUUGUCUGUAUUUGUGAAGAGACUGAAGGUUUGAAAUACAGCCAUUAUGAAUAGAUGAUGAUAGAUAAUAAAUUAUAAUCUGUAAAAUAUCUAUAUAAUAAUAACAAUAAUUUCAAAAAAUGAUUAUUAUAUUAGAUAUUAGUCCAGAUCUAUUUUACAGUCAAACAGCUAAAAUAUAUUCAUGUAAACAGAUUAUGUGCAAUUGGCACUUCAAAUGUGAAAAGGGUUUGCGGUUAAAGAACAUUAAGAACGGUUUAAAAAACACACACAAAGUAAUUAUGAGAUAAAUACAUGCAUAAAUUCGGGCAGAUACAAGUCAAGAGCAUGACUGUUGGUUUCAGAUGGACUGGCUGGAGUAUUUUUUAAGUUGUUGUACUUCAGCUUUUCAAAUCAUUUUAGUUAUCAGUAAAGGUUAAAGUGCAUAAAGUGGUCUGAAAUUUGAGCAGAUAAGACUUGCUAAUAAUUGUGCAUCAGAUAAAUCAGGACACAAUAAGCAAGUGAUUUUUAAAAACACAUCAGUCAUUUUUAGAUGGGCAAUCAUAUCACAUUGAAUUUAUAUUAUGAAAUAGGGCUGUGCAAAAGAUCGAAUUUAAAGUUGGAUCGCGAUUCUCAUUCAGGUCGAUCUCGACGAUAAGCUAAGGGCAUUUUUUAUUCGAUAUGGACAGGUCUAGCAGCCAGACCCCGCAGCGGAAACAGGGCGGGCUGAGCACUACCAUGUAUUUACAGUUACCGCCCACUUGUUGAGACAGCGUGAGAGGAGGCAGAGUUAGCCAGCCAGUUCGCUGCACUAAAAAGAAGAACAGGAUGAGUGAGGCUGGGGACAUUCGAAGUGAUGAACAUGGGAGCAAACUCGUUUUACCCUCUCAAGACAGCAUUGUUGAUAAAACUUCCCAGGCUACAUCAGUAGUAUAGAAAUGGUUUGGUUAUUGGAAAACUGACGCGGAGGAGAUCAAACCAGUCUGUAAAAUAUGUAAACGGUCAGUGUUAACAAAGACGGGUAAAACAAUCAACCUGUUUAAUCACCUGAAAAGAUACUACCCUUAUGAACACAAAGUGAUCAUGAAAAACCGUGCUGUCUCUACCUCAGUUAACGCUACCUCCUCGUUUCCAUCCGACAGUGCGAGUGCUAACGUUAGCUUUGCUAGCACUAGCAGUGCUUCACAACACCAGCCGUCAAUAGGGUCAUCGAUUGCUGCCAUCACACCUUAUGAUAAACAUUCAAAACGGGCGAAAAAUAUAACAAGCGCUGUUGCAUAUUGCAUAGCAAAAGACUUGAUGCCAAUAAACACUGUGGAAAAGGACGGGUACAAAAAAAAUUAAUCAAAGUGUUGGACAGCAGAUAUGAACUCCCUGGCAGAAAGUACUUCUCCCACACUGCACUGCCUCACCUAUAUGAUACAUGUCGGGCAAAACUUGAACGUGAGCUCCAGAAUGUAACCUAUUUUGCUACAACUACAGACAUUUGGUCCAGUCGGACAUCUCAGCCCUAUUUAAGUCUCACUAUUCAUUGCAUAGACGACAUGUGGGCUUUACAGAGCAGGUGUUUGCAAACACUAUAUUUCCCAGAGGAUCAUACUGGUGACAUAAUAAGCCAGGGGCUGGAAGAUGCUUUGGUGUCCUGGGGUCUUACAGAGGAUCGUCAGGUCUGCGUAACAACUGACAAUACCGCAAACAUGGUCAAAGCCACCUCUUUAAAAGGUUGGACAAGACUGCAAUGCUUUGGGCACUGCCUGCAUCUUGCAGUUGAGGGAAGUCUGAAGGACAAAUGGGUUGAAAGGGCCAUGGGUGUGUGCAGAAAGGUUGUUGGUGCCUUUUCUUUUUCAUGGAAAAAGAAGAAAGAACUUGCUGCUGCUCAAGAGGAGUUUCAACUACCAAAACACAAAUUGGUAACAGAAUCACCGACUAGGUGGGGGUCCCGCAUUGCAAUGGUGGACCGAGUGUUAGAGCAAGAGAAGCAUUGCUAAGGUUUUAUCUUCUGACAAAAAAAAAACCCGGCACCUACCUCCAUCGUGGCAGGACACAGAGGUCCUUGAGGCUGUCCACAAAGCCCUAAAUCCUCUUAUUGAAUUCACUGAUGCAUUGUCUGGUGAGCAAUAUGUUAGCGUAUCAUAUAUAAAACCUGUGCUUCACCUCUUUAAUCAGGAGGUUUUGAAGCCAGCAGAUGACACAGACCUCACCAAACACAUCAAGAAUACUGUCACAACUUACUUAAAUCAAAAGUAUGAUGACGCUGCCACAGACCAUCUUCUCAACAUUGCAUCACUUGUCGAUCCACGCUUCAAGACCCGGUACAUUCAAGAUGAAAAAUUAGAGACUGUAAAGAGCACAGUAGUUGUGCAGAUGCUCAGUGGAAACUCAACUCUUGCAUCCAGGUUGGAUGGAGACAGUAGAGAAUCUAGAGAUGAUAGUUUAAUUUUAGCUACACCAGCCGAAGUCCAGAAAAAGACACUGGGAAGCUUUUUCAAAAAGUCUGCGUCUAAGGUCUUGUCCUCUGCCCUAACAGAACAGCAGGUUCUUGAAGCUGAACUCAACAGUUACUUUCUGGCUCCAUAUGUAGACAGCAAGACCAAUCCCCUGGAAUGGUGGAAGGUCCAUUGUACAACUUACCCUAGAGUGAGCCUCCUUGCAAAACUAUACUUGUGUAUUCCUGCCACUAGCUCACCCUCAGAAUGUGCCUUUAGCACAAGUGGCAAUAUUGUGACAUGCCACAGAGCAGCUUUAAAGCCAGACGCAGUGGACAGAUUAGUCUUUCUGGCCAAAAAUCUGUGAUUAUUUUCAAAUGUGCAUUGUAAUUUCAAGACAACAGUAGUUUACAAUGUUUGUACAACUUGCACUUUCUUUUAUAGUCUUCCUUAUUGAUAAAUGUAAAGACUUUUUUGUGUGUUUACCAGUACUUGAAGACUUAGUCUUUCUGGCCAAAAAAUGUGAUUGUUUUUCAAUAUGCACUGUAAGUACAAGAUUAUUGUAGUUUACAAUAUUUGCACUUCUUGUCUGAAGUUCCCUGUUCGAGAAAUGUGAAGACAUUUUAUUUCUUAUGUUAACCAGUACUUUAAGUUGCAGUGUUUAUCUGUUUAGUCAUUUUAUUAAACAGAUUUUCUAAAAUUCUAUCUAGUGUAUCAUCUUAAUCCUAAUUAUUGCAACAGUACUUAUUACUAUGUUUAUUUAUAAAGCUUUGUUUAUUUAUAAAGAAAAGAUAGAUCGAAAAAAAUCGAGAUCGACCAAUAUGGGGAAAAAAAAUCGUGAUGAGAUAUUUUGCCAGAUCACCCAGCCCUAUUAUGAAAUGUUAUUUUCUUUCACUUCACAAACUAUUGUCACGUCACAAGCCAUUCAGUUCCUGUUUGUAAUUAAUACAGUAAUAUAAAAAAUAUAAAACAAUAUAUGACAGUACCAACAAUAUCUCAUCAUAGUGUAUCAUGACACAAUUAAGCAUGAUAUCAAUAUUAUAUCAUUAUAUUGCCCAGCCCUUUGCCACACUGUCACACAAUUUGUGGGCAUUUUUCCUUGGUUAGUAACUAUAUCAAUUUCCCAUGUAGGGCAACAGAAAAGCAUUUAUCCUGUUGUCUGUAGGUCACAAGUUCAAAUCCAGAUGCAAUAUAAAAUGAGUUGCUGGGUGUUAUGUUUAGUUAAAAAUUGCCUUGCUUUUUUCUAAACCUAAAAGGAACGCCUUUAAUACACAUUUGGAAAAUGUUUUAGUGUUGAUUUCAUUUUAAAUGAAUGUAAAAUUAAUUUAUCUUCUUUGCUUUACAGAUGAAACCCCAAGUUCUAAUUUUUAUUUACUUAGGAGGAUCCAUGUUACACUUUGUGAAAUGUUACAGCAGUGGCCAUUUUAUUGACGUGCCCGAUAUUUGUCAGACUAUGGCAGUUAAGCACGGCAGCGCUAAGCCUCAGGAAGGUGAAUCACCUUAUAAAAUUGACCCAGAUAAUAUCACUGUUGUUCCUGAAGAUGUGGGAAAACCCAUUAAGGUAACACUGAGAGCUGAUAUAGGUGAAUCAUUCAACGGUUUUAUGCUGGAAGCACGAAAACCAGGUGACACAAAUCCUCAGGGGACUUUUUCUUUGAAAGAAGAAAGUUUAACCAGACUUCAAGAAUGUGAUGGGAUAAAUGGUAAAGCGGUAACACAAACAAAUAACAGAAAAAAAACUUUAAUCACGAUCACAUGGAGUGCUUCUGAAACUGGAAUAUAUUUUUUCAGGGCUACAUUCACUAAGACUUAUGACAUAUUCUGGCUCACUAAAGAUGUCCCUAACACAACCCUGGCACCACCGACAACCACCACCAUAAUAAUGUCAGAUGUCUCUUCCACAACCCUGGCACCACCGACAACCAUAACCAAAAUGAACUCAACCUCAGAUUUCAAUAUCUCUCACUCAUCAUGUGAUCGCUUACUCUGCACUUGCUGAGAGCAGUCCUUUACUAGUGAAAGAUAGCGUAUGUGUUUGGACCAAGGUGACAUCAUUUCUGUCUUUGGCAUUUUCACUGGCUGCAUUCAUCCUCUCAAUGAUAGACACUGGACAAGUAAGAAUAUUGUGUAUCAAAUGUAUUCCAGCUAGUUCCAGGUGUCAGAGUGCUAGAAAUUUCAACCCACCUGCACUCUUAAUGUUCUAAUCUGCCGCAUCAACUUUAAAUAAUAUAUAGUCAUAUUUCUAGGGUUUUGAAUACAAAAGGUUACUGUUAAUAUACACUGAUCAGGCAUAACAUUAUGACCACCUGUCUAAUAUUGUGUUAAUCCCCCUUUUGCUGCCAAAACAGCACUGACUGGUCGAGGCAUGAACUCUACUAGAUCCCUGAAGGUGUGCUGUAGUAUCUGGCACCAAGAUGUUAGCAUCAGAUCCUUUAAGUCCUCUAAAUUGUGAGGUCGGGCCUCCCUGGAUCGGACUUGUUUGUCCAGCACAUCCCACAGAUGCUCGAUUGGAUUGAGAUCUGGGGAAUUUGGAGGCCAAGUCAACACCUCAAACUCAUUGUUGUGCUCAUCAAACCAUUCCUGAAAAGCACUUUUUUGCUAUGUGGCAUUGGCAUAUUAACCUGCUGAAUUAGGCCACAGGCAUCAGGGAAUACUGUUUCCAUGAAUGGGUGUACAUGGUCUGCAACAAUGCUUAGGUAGGUGGUACGUGUCAAAGUAACAUCCACAUGGAUGGCAGAACCCAAGGUUUCUAACACAUCAAAUUUAAGGACAAAAUGUUCACUUACUGCCUAAUAUAUCCCACCCACUAACAGGUGCCAUGAUGAGGAGAUAUUUAGUGUUAUUUACCUGUCAGUGCUCAUAAUGUUAUGGCUGAUCGGUGUAUAUGAAAGAUGUACUGUCUGUGUGUUUACAUGAAUAUGUACAUGUACAGGUUGUUGGCAAAAUUCUGGCAGGAGUUGUAGUAAGCCUGAACUUGGGCCAAACCAUUCUAAUAUUCUUUCUCUGUGGACCGAGCCAUAAAUUGUGAGUGUUUCCUUAAAAUGUUUCAAUGUGACACUGCUAGUUUAUGCACACUGUAAAAAUUAAAAUUUAGUGCCAUCCAAAUGUAUCUCGUUCUCUGGCUUUACCUAUUUGGGAGAUUUAUACUUGUCUUUUUUCCAAAAAUGAAAGAAAGAUAUAUUUUUUGUUCUAAAUUUUAGAAGGAAGAUUUUCUUUUGUGUUCUCAGAGUGGCUAUAUUCAUAAACCUUUGUUUUACAGAGAACACACACCAAACCACAUCGAGCCGACGGAAUCGUAGGGUUUCUUACUGGUGUACCGGCUUGGUCGUGUUUAGUUGCAUGAAUGUAGCAUUGACUAUAGCUUUUGUAUUAGUAUUAUUUUUGUGUGAUUAAUACCUGAAGAGCCCAAGACCAUGAUAUUUUAAUGAUGUGUAUGAUGUUUUAAUUAUUAUUAUUUUUUAAAUUUCAUAUAUCUUUGGGGUGAAAAUGCAAAAAUAUAAAUUGAUAAUAAUAGUAAAAGUAACUAUUCAUAGUUUAUUAUUGAUUUUAUUGCUUAUGAUGAGUGUAGAUUUUGUAUUUUAGAGAAAUAUCUAUCUUUAUUUUGAAAAAAGAGAAUCUACAGUCCCCUCCCACAGUACUGAAAUGGCAAUAUUUUUUGUUAUAGACAUUUGGGAUUGAGAUUAAGCGAUGGAUAUAAAAUGUUAGAUCAGAAUUUCAGCUUUCAUUUCCUGAUAUAUACAUCUAGAUGUGUUAAACUACUUAGAACAUGAUGCUUUUUUGUUUGAACCCACCCAUUUUUCAAGUGACCAAAAGUAUUGGAAUGCAACUGAUAGGUGUUUCUUGUUACUGUGCCCUGUUACAUUGAAUAUUUAAACAAAUUAAUAGCUAUGUCAGUAAAGAUUACAUAUAUAUGUAAAGUUAAACCAAAAUGAACACCAGAGAGCUGUCUAUUGGAGUACUUUAAGCCUUGGACAAGCAUUGGGCAUAGCCACUACAACAAACAUUUGGAAUGUACUGAAAAAGAAAGAAAAACAAUGGUGUACUAACAACCCCACAUCGAACUGGUUAGAGCCAAAUGCAACAAAAGAAAGUCUAAACAGAUGUAACAACAAAAACUCUGAUGUCUCAUUUGUAGUAGUGGACUUAGAUCAUGUCUAAUUCUCUAGAAGUAAGGGCUGCUGUUUGGAAAACUCUUUUUAAACGAGG
Molecule: long non-coding RNA, 6634 nt
Organism: Hemibagrus wyckioides
Lineage: Eukaryota; Metazoa; Chordata; Actinopteri; Siluriformes; Bagridae
Exons: 10
Source: RefSeq, a predicted model, not a curated record